RNAcentral lists this ribosomal RNA (472 nucleotides) under uncultured bacterium. RNAcentral describes it as "partial 16S ribosomal RNA". It matches the Rfam family "Bacterial small subunit ribosomal RNA", at positions 328 to 792 of the family's 1533-position model. The record is from RNAcentral.
UCUCCAGACUCCUACGGGAGGCAGCAGUAGGGAAUUUUCGGCAAUGGGCGAAAGCCUGACCGAGCAAUGCCGCGUGAGUGAAGAAGGCCUUCGGGUUGUAAAGCUCCGUUGUAAAGGAAGAACGGAUGGCAUAGGGAAUGAUGCCAUUGUGACGGUACUUUACGAGGAAGUCACGGCUAACUACGUGCCAGCAGCCGCGGUAAUACGGAGGGUGCGAGCGUUAAUCGGAAUUACUGGGCGUAAAGCGCUCGUAGGCGGUAUGUCAAGUCAAGGGUGAAAUCCCCGCGCUCAACGUGGGAACUGCCUUUGAAACUGGCAAACUGGAGUGUGUGAGAGGAUAGUGGAAUUCCAGGUGUAGGAGUGAAAUCCGUAGAUAUCUGGAGGAACAUCAGUGGCGAAGGCGACUAUCUGGCACAUAACUGACGCUGAGGAGCGAAAGCGUGGGUAGCAAACAGGAUUAGAUACCCGUGUA